ACGUAUACUUCCGGAGUGUUUUGGUUCAGACUGAGACUUGUUAUCAGUGGCCUUAAUUACACCUUUAACCACACAUUAACCCUAUAUCUGUAACUAAAAAGACUCAAGUAACUAGCUACAUUGAUCUUAACUCCUACAUUACCUCCAUGAUAACUUGUGUAGAGAUAAUAGGGUGGUUGGUGUUAGGUUGUGAUCAUCUUGUUCCUUCACCUGUCAAAGUUUUAAUCAUCUCUUUAACGUGUUGGUCUGUGUUGUAGUUCUCGGUGAUUACGAGGGUAUAGAGCUGUGUGUGUUAUAUGUGUCUUGGUAAUAGUGUGAUAAGUGAGGAUGCCCACCCAGACCCCAGGUAGUAAGGUGGCCUCGGGAGAACCUGCUGAGAUUCGUGUAAAAAUUGCUUAUAGUGGUAUAACAAGAACUGGAGAAACGCAAAAUUACAAAAACUACAAUUCCUUCAUCUAUUUUGGGAUAUACUUGAGAGAGGUUUACAUUACCUACAUCCCACCAACACUAGAGGUGGAGGCACUGCAACAAGAGAUCCGAGCCAUAUGCAAGUUUGACUCCACCCAAGUGUUCACCCUCAAGUGGGUCGACGAGGAAGGGGACCCAUGCACCAUCUCAUCACAACAGGAGCUGGAUGAAGCACUCCGUCUGUAUGACCUCAACAAGGACUCCGAGCUAACAAUUCACGUGUUCCCCAACGUACCGGAGCCCGGGAUGGCCUGCCAGGGAGAGGACCGGAGUAUCUAUCGACGGGGAGCAAGACGAUGGAGGAAGCUGUACAAGGUCAACGGGCACAUCUUCCAGGCCAAGCGCUUCAACAGGCGUGCCUUCUGCGAAUUCUGCAAGGAUCGUAUAUGGGGUCUUGGCCGGCAAGGCUUCAAGUGCACCCAAUGCAAGCUCCUCGUUCACAAAAAGUGCCACAAGCUCCAGAAAGUGCCAUGUAAUGCAGACCUGGACACUUCCACUGACACUCUGGCAUCUCACGACAACUCGACACUCCCCAGGGCUGGCACCAAUGGCAGAAUGGCCGUGCAGGACUUUGCGGAGAUCUCGGACCCUGGGAUAACAGAAGAAACACCUGUGGAAAUGCCAACUAUCACAGGGAGUCGUAGUGAACCCAUGUCUCCCGCCGGCCAGGCAGGACAGUACUGCUUGGACGACUUUGAGCUCAUCCGUGUUAUUGGCCGGGGAUCUUACGCCAAGGUGUUGAUGGUCGAGCUGAAGAAAACUAAGAGGAUCUACGCCAUGAAGGUCAUCAAGAAAACGCUCGUCACUGAUGAUGAGGACAUAGAUUGGGUCCAGACAGAAAAGCACGUGUUUGAGACGGCCUCCAACCACCCGUUCUUGGUUGGUCUACACUCGUGCUUCCAGACUCCGUCCCGACUCUUCUUUGUAAUUGAAUUUGUUCGAGGAGGUGACCUUAUGUUCCACAUGCAAAGGCAGCGUCGCCUGCCCGAGGAGCACGCUAGAUUUUAUGCUGCUGAGAUCUGCUUAGCGCUUAACUUCCUGCAUGAAAAAGGCAUUAUUUACCGUGAUCUUAAAUUGGAUAACGUCUUACUUGACCACGAGGGGCACAUUAAACUAACCGAUUAUGGUAUGUGCAAAGAAGGCAUCCGUCCAGGCGACACUACCUCUACCUUCUGCGGGACACCAAACUACAUCGCACCAGAGAUUUUACAAGGUGUAGAAUAUAGCUUUAGCGUUGACUGGUGGGCAUUAGGAGUUCUACUUUAUGAGAUGUUAGCAGGCAAAAGUCCCUUUGAUAUUGUUGGGGCAUCUGACAACCCAGAUUGUAACACUGAAGACUUCCUCUUUCAAGUAAUAUUAGAGCGACCCAUCCGUAUCCCUCGGUCACUGUCCGUCAAAGCUGCCUCAAUCCUCAAGGGCUUCCUCAACAAAAACCCAGUUGACCGACUCGGGUGUCACCCAGAAACUGGCUUUACAGAUAUAGUUAGUCACCCGUUCUUCAAGACUAUAAUCUGGGAAAUGCUGGAAAGGAAACAGAUUCCACCACCAUACAAGCCACGGGUAGAUGGAGAAAGAGACCUUGAAAACUUUGACCCUCAGUUUACAGCUGAGCCUGUACAGUUUACUCCAGAUGAUCAUUGCAGCAGCGACAGGUACCCCCGCCAUAUCGCCCCAGGCUAGACUCUGACCGUGAUCUGGCAAACUUCCCACCAGAAUUUACAGAUGAGCCUAUUCAGCUAACCCCUGAUGAUGCGCGCGCCAUCGAGAACAUUGACCAGAGCGAGUUUGAGGGGUUCGAGUACGUGAACCCCCUGUUGAUGAGCAUGGAGGACUGUGUGUAGGCGAGGUACAGGGCGGCCUUGACCCUCCACACGGCCAGCCACUCACCUUACUGCUGCUGCCCCUCUACCCCAGUUCCUCCCUCCAUGUGGCCUCGCUCCCCCACCCACCUACGUGUAGCUGUGCUCAUUCUUAUGUGGCUACCACCCGAGCAUGUGCAUCCUCAGCGUCGACACACACUCAUCCAUAUAGACAAGCUUCUGUCUCUCUCUCUGGCCAUUUUCAUCCUCGUGUGUCCAUUUUCAUUCUCCUAUGGCCAUGUUCAUAUCCCAGCGGCCGAGCUCUUGGUGUUUUCAUUUUCAUCUUCUUCGUAUGGUCAUGUUCAUCUCCUCGUGGCCACAGUCGGUUCUUAUACGGUUACUCUUCGUGUAUGGCCAUGCUUUUCUCUCUGUGGCCACACUCAUUAAUAGUCAUUCAUCCUCAUGGGGCCACACUCCUUUAAUCGCAUGGACAAAGUAGGCCCUCUCAUGGCCCCUCUCACUUCCGGUGUGGCUGAAUGUAUCUUUCUGUUGGCCUUGCUUUUUUACCCAUAUGGCCAAGUGUAGCCUCUUUAUGGCCCGAC
Molecule: unclassified non-coding RNA, 2869 nt
Filed under: Homarus americanus (American lobster)
Lineage: Eukaryota; Metazoa; Arthropoda; Malacostraca; Decapoda; Nephropidae
Description: atypical protein kinase C-like, transcript variant X7
Source: RNAcentral